This 97-nucleotide microRNA precursor is filed under the name Mus pahari (shrew mouse). RNAcentral's name for it is "miRNA (MGP_PahariEiJ_G0007592.1)". The record is from RNAcentral. Lineage: Eukaryota; Metazoa; Chordata; Mammalia; Rodentia; Muridae.
UAGAGUGUGCAGCCAGUGCUGUUGAGGGCAGAGGCGAGAAGAGGGCUGAAAGCAGGGAGAGGCUGUCUCUGCUUCUGGGGCACUGGCUUCUCCUCUG